This 1371-nucleotide ribosomal RNA is filed under the name Pediococcus pentosaceus. Its description in RNAcentral is "bacterial SSU rRNA". It matches the Rfam family "Bacterial small subunit ribosomal RNA", at positions 64 to 1410 of the family's 1533-position model. The record is from RNAcentral. Lineage: Bacteria; Bacillati; Bacillota; Bacilli; Lactobacillales; Lactobacillaceae.
GAUUAUGACGUACUUGUACUGAUUGAGAUUUUAACACGAAGUGAGUGGCGAACGGGUGAGUAACACGUGGGUAACCUGCCCAGAAGUAGGGGAUAACACCUGGAAACAGAUGCUAAUACCGUAUAACAGAGAAAACCGCAUGGUUUUCUUUUAAAAGAUGGCUCUGCUAUCACUUCUGGAUGGACCCGCGGCGUAUUAGCUAGUUGGUGAGGUAAAGGCUCACCAAGGCAGUGAUACGUAGCCGACCUGAGAGGGUAAUCGGCCACAUUGGGACUGAGACACGGCCCAGACUCCUACGGGAGGCAGCAGUAGGGAAUCUUCCACAAUGGACGCAAGUCUGAUGGAGCAACGCCGCGUGAGUGAAGAAGGGUUUCGGCUCGUAAAGCUCUGUUGUUAAAGAAGAACGUGGGUAAGAGUAACUGUUUACCCAGUGACGGUAUUUAACCAGAAAGCCACGGCUAACUACGUGCCAGCAGCCGCGGUAAUACGUAGGUGGCAAGCGUUAUCCGGAUUUAUUGGGCGUAAAGCGAGCGCAGGCGGUCUUUUAAGUCUAAUGUGAAAGCCUUCGGCUCAACCGAAGAAGUGCAUUGGAAACUGGGAGACUUGAGUGCAGAAGAGGACAGUGGAACUCCAUGUGUAGCGGUGAAAUGCGUAGAUAUAUGGAAGAACACCAGUGGCGAAGGCGGCUGUCUGGUCUGCAACUGACGCUGAGGCUCGAAAGCAUGGGUAGCGAACAGGAUUAGAUACCCUGGUAGUCCAUGCCGUAAACGAUGAUUACUAAGUGUUGGAGGGUUUCCGCCCUUCAGUGCUGCAGCUAACGCAUUAAGUAAUCCGCCUGGGGAGUACGACCGCAAGGUUGAAACUCAAAAGAAUUGACGGGGGCCCGCACAAGCGGUGGAGCAUGUGGUUUAAUUCGAAGCUACGCGAAGAACCUUACCAGGUCUUGACAUCUUCUGACAGUCUAAGAGAUUAGAGGUUCCCUUCGGGGACAGAAUGACAGGUGGUGCAUGGUUGUCGUCAGCUCGUGUCGUGAGAUGUUGGGUUAAGUCCCGCAACGAGCGCAACCCUUAUUACUAGUUGCCAGCAUUAAGUUGGGCACUCUAGUGAGACUGCCGGUGACAAACCGGAGGAAGGUGGGGACGACGUCAAAUCAUCAUGCCCCUUAUGACCUGGGCUACACACGUGCUACAAUGGAUGGUACAACGAGUCGCGAGACCGCGAGGUUAAGCUAAUCUCUUAAAACCAUUCUCAGUUCGGACUGUAGGCUGCAACUCGCCUACACGAAGUCGGAAUCGCUAGUAAUCGCGGAUCAGCAUGCCGCGGUGAAUACGUUCCCGGGCCUUGUACACACCGCCCGUCACACCAUGAGAG